UACGUAGGCAGCGAGCGUUGUUCGGAGUUACUGGGCGUAAAGAGUGCGUAGGCGGUUUUCUAAGUUUGGUGUGAAAUCUCCCGGCUCAACUGGGAGGGUGCGCCGAAGACUGGAAGGCUUGAGUAUGGGAGAGGUAAGCGGAAUUCCUGGUGUAGCGGUGAAAUGCGUAGAUAUCAGGAGGAACACCUGCGGUGUAGACGGGUUGCUGGGCCGACACUGACGCUGAGGCGCGAAAGCUAGGGGAGCGAACGGG
This 253-nucleotide ribosomal RNA is filed under the name uncultured bacterium. RNAcentral's name for it is "partial 16S ribosomal RNA". It matches the Rfam family "Bacterial small subunit ribosomal RNA", at positions 524 to 776 of the family's 1533-position model. The record is from RNAcentral.